This 355-nucleotide unclassified non-coding RNA is filed under the name Hevea brasiliensis (rubber tree). Lineage: Eukaryota; Viridiplantae; Streptophyta; Magnoliopsida; Malpighiales; Euphorbiaceae. The record is from RNAcentral.
GGUCCAAUCCCAUGGCUGCAACCUAUUGCAUUAAAAGAGCAUCCUCGUUCAUAUUUGAUUCCACGAGCCAUUCAUACAACUUAAAUAACACGUUUCAUUUAAUAUAUAUUGACAUUUAUAAUAGUAAAUUGAUCUGCUGAUUCACAAUCUGAACUAAAACUACUCAUGCAUGUAAAAUCUUGUGGAGAUCUAAAAUCCCGUAAUUCAUUAGUUUACAAGAAAAGUACUGAAUGCAAAAGAAUCAGUGUUUAUGCAAACUGAUUAAGAAAAUAUAUCAACAUGAAAUUAAUUCUGCAUCGAAUUCAAAAGAAAAAAAGUGUAAACAACUUGUACCUUUACGGUGAUAGCCACAAUC